CACACGCCCGUCACGCCAUGGAAGUGGCGAGCGCCCGAAGUCCGUGUCGGAACCCGCAAGGGACCAAGCGGCCGAAGGCGAGCGUCAUGACUGGGCG
Molecule: ribosomal RNA, 97 nt
Filed under: uncultured bacterium
Lineage: Bacteria
Description: partial 16S ribosomal RNA
Source: RNAcentral